Molecule: long non-coding RNA, 1649 nt
Organism: Oryctolagus cuniculus (rabbit)
Lineage: Eukaryota; Metazoa; Chordata; Mammalia; Lagomorpha; Leporidae
Source: Ensembl
AUGCCCCCGGGGACCGGGGGGGUGACAGAAGUCCCAGCCACCCAGCCUGACGCUGAGCCGCUUCUCCACGCUGGACGAGGACGCCAGCUGGCUCGGGAGCCGACAGCAGGGCGGGGCUGCCGUGGACGGGCCUCCGAAGCCCAGCAGCCGCUGCACCCACCGGUGCUGCCCUCGUCCAGCCACAGGCUCCCUCCCAGGCUGCCGGGGGAAUCCAGCCCGAAACUGGACGUGCAGCGCCCAGGCGCUCCAGAUGGUGGCCCAGGACACGGCCCAGCUGGGAGCCCUCCAGCCCUGUCUGGCAGAAUUGGAUCUGGGCCUAGAGCAACCAGGCUCGUCAUGGAAGACCUAAGUAUGGACUCUGAAGCCCCUAAAAUUGCAGAGGCCCCCUGGCAGUGCCGCCAUCCCGUAUGGGCGCCGGUUCGAGUCCCGGCUGCUCCUCUUCCGAUCCAGCCCUCUGCUGUGGCCUGGGAAGGCAGUGGAGGAUGCCCAAGUCCUGGGCCCCUGCACCUGCGUGGGAGACCAGGAAGAGGCUCCUGGCUCCAGCCUGGCCCAGCCCUGGCUGUUGUAGCCACCUGAGGAGUGACCCAGCAGGUGGAAGUCCUCUCUCUCUGUAACUCAGCUUUUCAAAGAAAUGAAUCUUUAAAAAAAAUGCAGAGGCCCCUUUUUAAGAAACAGACAAAAUUAAGAAAAUGCACGGUUAACGCCCAUGCUUAGUCUCCCAGGCCCUCUGUCCUUCCCUGUGAAUUCCAGUCCAACCGGUCACUCAUAGUCACUCACGGUCACACUGCCCACAGGCCAGACCUGCCCAUCCCACUAGCAGGUCAAUGCCAGGGGACUCACUCCUGGCAUCACCUCCUCCAGGAAGCCUGCCUUGAUGAGUGCUCCCUCCAGAGUGGAGGCCUCCCCACUGCCCCCUCAACCUUCCUCGUCCCUGUGUCACCAUCUGCAAGGCCUGUCCACCCUGUGCCCCAGGCAGUGAGCUCCACCCUGGUACCUGACACCCCAGAAGCACUCCAGGGAUGUUUGUUGAACGACUGUGUGAACGUCACACAGCUGAAAGCACAUGGUUUGGGGGCAGUCCUGGUGCCUGUGGGAUGCUGGGUAGGUCAGAGCCUGGUGCUGGGAGGCAUCUGGGUACCCAACCUUGUGGGACUGCUGUCACAGGUAGCCAGCUGUGGCCACGCACGCAGCAGGCCCAGCCUGGAGGGGGCCAGCAGCCCCCCACAGUGCCCGGGUGGACCGUGAGGCGGCCUCGUCCCUGGUGGAGCUCAGGGCCCAGGCUUGGCUGGGGUGGACGACGUGUCCACCACGCUCCCUGCAGCUCCGGGAGGCUGUGGCUCCCCUAGGCUGCCUGGGUGGGGGCAGGUGUUUGGCACAGGGGCUACGCUGCCCCCUCGGGACUCCUGCACCCCCUGGCAGAGUGCCUGGGUUCAAGCCUCAGCUCUUCUCCAGCUCCAGCUUCCUGCUAAGUGCACGUCCCGGAAGGCAGCAGGCGCCCGCCACCCUCGCAGACCUGGGUGGAGUCCUGGGCUCCUGUGUUGGCCUGGCCCAGCCCCAGCUGCUGUGGGCGUUUGGGGGUGGCCAGCAGAUAGAAGGUCUCGAUGUCUUUCUUUCAAAUAAAAUGAAAAUAAAUUUAAAAAUAAAGUCCA